GCAAGGGCAAAAGGAUUUAGCUAGAACCCUAAACUGAUCGAAUCGAAGCAACUCAACAAUGGAGAUGCAAAGCGAAUUCGAUCGUCUCCUUUUCUUCGAACACGCUCGGAAGAGUGCUGAAACCGCCUAUGCUCAGAAUCCCCUAGAUGCUGAUAACUUGACGAGGUGGGGAGGUGCAUUGCUGGAAUUAUCACAGUUUCAGCCCGUAGCUGAAUCGAAACAAAUGAUUUCUGAUGCAACAUCAAAGUUGGAGGAGGCAUUGACAGUGAACCCUGAAAAGCAUGAUGCGCUUUGGUGUUUGGGAAAUGCUCAUACAUCACAUGCUUUUUUAACUCCUGAUAUGGAUGAGGCUAAGGUUUACUUUGAAAAAGCAACUCAGUGCUUUCAACAGGCAUUUGAUGCGGAUCCCUCAAAUGACCUUUACCGCAAAUCUCUGGAAGUUACUGCUAAGGCUCCAGAAUUGCACAUGGAAAUCCACAGACAUGGUCCCAUGCAACAACCUAUGGCAGCAGAACCUUCAACAUCGACAAGCACAAAGAGUUCAAAAAAGAAGAAGAGCAGUGAUCUCAAGUAUGACAUUUUUGGGUGGGUCAUACUUGCCGUUGGCAUUGUUGCAUGGGUGGGAUUUGCAAAAUCUAAUAUGCCUCCACCACCACCACCGCAUCCACAGUGAAACCCAUAAUACAGCUUAGCUUUACUGGUGAAGAUACUCUAUUAGAGUUUUUCCUUUUGCAUAAACAGGACCCUAGGCAUUAAUGCCUGUCAUUUAGCUAGUUACUGAAACUUUAUAACUUUCUGGUGAAAACUUUGAAGACUUUUUUUCUGUUGUAAUAGAUUAAAUAAGACUUUUUUUCUGUUGUGAUAGAUCAAAUAAGACUUUUUCUUUUAAUCUCGG
RNAcentral lists this unclassified non-coding RNA (895 nucleotides) under Hevea brasiliensis (rubber tree). The record is from RNAcentral. Lineage: Eukaryota; Viridiplantae; Streptophyta; Magnoliopsida; Malpighiales; Euphorbiaceae.